GAGGGAGCCAAGACUUUCCUGGGAGGACGAGAGGGGAGGUUCUGGCCAGUGCUCCUGGCUCCCUGACAAGCACCUUCCUACACCGGCAGAGGCCUCUCCACACACCUGCUGGGUGCCAGUCGGCCGGCGAGCUGGAGGCAGGGGGCCUCGGGGCUGCCUCCUGUGGUACCUAGUGCCACGGCGGAGUGACAUAGCACUUCAGGGAGCACGCAAGGAGCCCCGGUGUGUGAGCCUGCCCUCCCUUCUUCCCUCUUGUGAGGGCCGAGCUGUGCUGGUAUGAGGCGGGGCAGGGGGUCCACGCUGGCUGCCCGGCGCUCUCUCCACCCAAUUCCUGCACACGUGCCCCCACCUCAGCCUGGGUAUUCUCAGCCAGGCACGGACCAUAGCCCACUGUGCUUUUCUCCUCUCUUCCAACCCCUCUCUUCUCUUGGCCCCAGAGGGGUUCUGGCUCCCUAUGAGCUGGGGGCCUGGCCCUGCUCGCCUUGAGUCUCAGCCUUGUCCUUCAAAUCCAGCAGGACUCGAAGGGCUAAGGGGGUGCUGAAGACUACUGUGUGAGGUGCCGUCGCCUCCGGCAGCCUCCUCCCCACAGCCCUGUGUGCUGUCCAGAGACUCAGCCCGCCCAGCGACGUGGAUUGCAGGAAGCCUCUGCGUGUGUGACUCAGACCCUUGACGUCCGCCUGGGAACCCUCCAAGGACCACCCCGUCAGCUCAGACCAGGGAGCACACACUGGGGAAGGGAAGGCCCUGUGAGCGCACAGCGAGAAGGUGGCCAUCUUCAACCCAAGGGAAGACCCUCACCAGACGCCGACCCUGCCGGCACCUUGAUCUAGGACUUCUAGAACUGUGGGAAGUAAGUCUUUGCUGUUUAACGCGCACAGUCUGUGGUAUUCAGUUUUGGCUGCCUGAGCUAGGACAGUGGCAAGUGUCCUCCUUCUCAGGGCCUCCUUUUCCUCCAAAGCGAGAGUAGUGGUUUAGCAUUUUACUCCUCGAGGGCGGUUGCUGACCGACCGGCAGCAUCGGCAGCAUCGUCUGGGAGCCCCUGAGAAAUGCAGAAUCCAGACUCCACCCUGGAGCCACUGUGAAUCCGAAUCUGCGUUUUAACAAGUUCUUCAGGCCACUCACGUGCACGUCAACAUUUGAGGUUUGCUGCCGUGGGUCAUCUCUAAGGUAUCCUCCAGGGUUGACCCUUGACGCCCUUUUAUCCUAGUCAUCCCGUCCUCACAUCUGCCUUCACCGUGUUCGGAAUCAGAGCCACUUUUGAGGUAGCGGUCUGGAGCUUCCCUACCACCCCCAUCCCCCCAUCUCCCCUGACCUCUCCUGGGAAAAACAGGAAGUGUUUCCUCUGGGUGUGUAAGUCCUGCUGGGCUGGGGUUUCUCAGGAAGUCAUUCACUAGGGCUGCCGCAAAGAGCAGAGAGCGUACCUGGUGAAGAGGUCUCCUCUUCCCGAGUGGGACUUGUGUCUGCAACCAAAGAAGAGUGAAAAGAAAAUAGAAUGUUUUGGUUGGAA
This is a long non-coding RNA of Herpailurus yagouaroundi (jaguarundi), 1507 nucleotides long. RefSeq lists it as uncharacterized. The record is from RefSeq and is a predicted model, not a curated record. Lineage: Eukaryota; Metazoa; Chordata; Mammalia; Carnivora; Felidae. The transcript is spliced from 2 exons.